Molecule: ribosomal RNA, 259 nt
Filed under: uncultured bacterium
Lineage: Bacteria
Description: partial 16S ribosomal RNA
Rfam family: Bacterial small subunit ribosomal RNA
Source: RNAcentral
CGGCGGACGGGUGAGUAACGCGUGGGUAACCUGCCUUACGACAGGGGGAUAACAGUUAGAAAUGACUGCUAAUACCGCAUAAGACCCCGGUACCGCAUGGUACAGAGGUAAAAACUGAGGUGGUGUAAGAUGGACCCGCGUCUGAUUAGGUAGUUGGUGAGGUAACGGCUCACCAAGCCGACGAUCAGUAGCCGGCCUGAGAGGGUGGACGGCCACAUUGGGACUGAGACACGGCCCAGACUCCUACGGAAGGCAGCAG